This 113-nucleotide non-coding RNA is filed under the name Bacillus sp. (in: firmicutes). RNAcentral's name for it is "Bacillus sp. SAM-I sequence". It matches the Rfam family "SAM riboswitch aptamer (S box leader)". Rfam says of the family: The SAM riboswitch is found upstream of a number of genes which code for proteins involved in methionine or cysteine biosynthesis in Gram-positive bacteria. RNAcentral also lists the same sequence under 1 other name. Lineage: Bacteria; Bacillati; Bacillota; Bacilli; Caryophanales; Bacillaceae. The record is from RNAcentral.
CUCUUAUUAAGAGAGGUGGAGGGACGUGCCCUAUGAAGCCCGGCAACCAUCAGUUAUGUAACUGAAGUGGUGCCAAUUCACUCAAAAUGCUCAGGCAUUUUGAAAGAUGAGAG